UUGAAUAUUAGUCUUGAGUCCAAUCUACCUAAAAGGUUUAGGGCUGAAUUGAGUCAAGCAGACUAUGACCCAAAUAAGCUAAAGAGAAAUGAACAAUUAGUUGCUGAUCAAGAUGCUUAUAUGAUAACACCUUGUAAUUUUUCUAUAUGUGACACUACUACCUGCAUAUUGGAUACCGAAAGUUCAGUUCACAUAUGUAAUUUAUUGCAAGGACAUCAAGUUAGUAAAAAAUUUGAAAACGACGAGAGAUUCCUGAAUGUGAA
RNAcentral lists this long non-coding RNA (263 nucleotides) under Elaeis guineensis (African oil palm). RNAcentral describes it as "long non-coding RNA (EGUI_LNC033523)". Lineage: Eukaryota; Viridiplantae; Streptophyta; Magnoliopsida; Arecales; Arecaceae. The record is from RNAcentral.